Molecule: ribosomal RNA, 137 nt
Filed under: uncultured eukaryote
Lineage: Eukaryota
Description: partial 18S ribosomal RNA
Rfam family: Eukaryotic small subunit ribosomal RNA
Source: RNAcentral
UGGUGGAGUGAUUUGUCUGGUUAAUUCCGAUAACGAACGAGACCUUAACCUACUAACUAGAAGUAGGAGCUACUGCUUCUACUCGCUUCUUAGAGGGACUGUGUGGUAAAACCUCAAGGAAGUUUAAGGCAAUAACA